This 460-nucleotide ribosomal RNA is filed under the name uncultured bacterium. RNAcentral describes it as "partial 16S ribosomal RNA". It matches the Rfam family "Bacterial small subunit ribosomal RNA", at positions 338 to 795 of the family's 1533-position model. The record is from RNAcentral.
CCUACGGGUGGCUGCAGUGAGGAAUAUUGGUCAAUGGACGAGAGUCUGAACCAGCCAAGUAGCGUGAAGGAUGACUGCCCUACGGGUUGUAAACUUCUUUUAUAUUGGAAUAAAAUGUUCCACGUGUGGCAUUUUGUAUGUACUUUCUGAAUAAGGAUCGGCUAACUCCGUGACAGCAGCCGCGGUAAUACGGAGGAUCCGAGCGUUAUCCGGAUUUAUUGGGUUUAAAGGGAGCGUAGGUGGAUUGUUAAGUCAGUUGUGAAAGUUUGCGGCUCAACCGUAAAAUUGCAGUUGAAACUGGCAGUCUUGAGUACAGUAGAGGUAGGCGGAAUUCGUGGUGUAGCGGUGAAAUGCUUAGAUAUCACGAAGAACUCCGAUUGCGAAGGCAGCUCACUAAACUGCAACUGACACUGAGGCUCGAAAGUGUGGGUAUCAAACAGGAUUAGAUACCCUUGUAGUC